Molecule: long non-coding RNA, 760 nt
Filed under: Fukomys damarensis (Damara mole-rat)
Lineage: Eukaryota; Metazoa; Chordata; Mammalia; Rodentia; Bathyergidae
Description: lncRNA (ENSFDAG00000026422.1)
Source: RNAcentral
UACUGGUAUAUGAUGUGGACAGCUGUCGUCCAGUGAGAUUCAGGCUGGUUUCUGGCUGUGAGGGCAUAAUUGAAUUCCCUGUCUCCUGCAGGUUAGAACUCUACAAGGUUCUACUGCAGGUUGGAGCCACCCUUCCUCUGUAGCAGGUGGUAGGAGGUAUUGGUCCCAGCAACUCACCAAUUGCUGUGGUCUACUCUGUCUUCACUCUCUCCAUGGGCUUUAAUUUCAACAAAACCAAGCCUUGCAGAGGUCCUUUCUCUGACGCUCACCGGGUACCACCUUCCUGAGUUCAUAGCAAUGGCUCUCUGGCCCCAGGUGCCUCUGUGUGGCAUGGAGUAUUGUUUGGUGCAUGGAUUCACAAUUAAAUGCAGCUUGUAAACUGUGUGGAACAGCAUUGUUUUUUCCUCAAUUCUAUUUGACACUGCAUGCUGCAUAGUUUUGGAACAUACGCUACCUCACCUGCUACCUGGGGAAAUACUCAUCCUUUUACAAGAAGCCAGGAGACCUCUCCUUAAUGGCUUUUGGGCGAGAGCCCUGGACUAGAGGCAGAGUUGGGCAGGCUGCUGUAUCUCCCAGAAGGCUAAACAGGUCUCAUCCUAGUAUCCAACUUGGCUUGGCUCCAGGAUUUCCAUUUUCAGUGAAUCUAUACUGCGCAUCAAAUUCAGAUGCCCAAAGACAUAAAGUUGGGAAAAAGCUGACUGAGCUCAAACAGCCUUCACUUUUUGAAACAUUCAACUCAAAUGACUUGACUAAAAUAUAG